This 407-nucleotide ribosomal RNA is filed under the name uncultured bacterium. Its description in RNAcentral is "bacterial SSU rRNA". It matches the Rfam family "Bacterial small subunit ribosomal RNA", at positions 355 to 776 of the family's 1533-position model. The record is from RNAcentral.
UGGGGGAUAUUGCACAAUGGAGGAAACUCUGAUGCAGCAACGCCGCGUGAGGGAAGAAGGUUUUCGGAUUGUAAACCUCUGUUUUUAGUGAAGAAACAAAUGACGGUAGCUAAAGAGGAAGCCACGGCUAACUACGUGCCAGCAGCCGCGGUAAUACGUAGGUGGCAAGCGUUGUCCGGAAUUACUGGGUGUAAAGGGUGCGCAGGCGGGAUUGCAAGUUGGAUGUGAAAUACCGGGGCUUAACCCCGGAGCUGCAUCCAAAACUGUAGUUCUUGAGUGGAGUAGAGGUAAGCGGAAUUCCGAGUGUAGCGGUGAAAUGCGUAGAUAUUCGGAGGAACACCAGUGGCGAAGGCGGCUUACUGGGCUCUAACUGACGCUGAGGCACGAAAGCAUGGGUAGCAAACAGG